This 368-nucleotide long non-coding RNA is filed under the name Ananas comosus (pineapple). RNAcentral's name for it is "long non-coding RNA (ACOM_LNC022443)". The record is from RNAcentral. Lineage: Eukaryota; Viridiplantae; Streptophyta; Magnoliopsida; Poales; Bromeliaceae.
AAAAGUUUUAUUUUAAAUCUGUGUUUUAUAUUUUAAAAAAUUGAAUUUGAUUUAUAAAGUUUUACAUGUUGUUUUGAAUUUAAAUUUACAGUUUGGUUGUAAUUUGAAAUUCAACUAUUGUUGUAGGUAUUUAAGAAAGUCACAAUAUUCUUAGUUGGAUAAAAUCGGUUUUGUGGACCAAACUAUUUUACAAAGACUAAAAUACCCUUUAAAUAGGUACCUGGUGAAUGGUACCUAUGCUUCAAUAGCAGGUCACCUCUAGAAUCAUAUUAAAUCUAAACCAUUUAUUAAGAAAAAUAAGUGGUCAAGAUUUAUAUGGUGUUUUAAAGUAUUCCUCUAUUUUUUUAUUUUUAUUUUUUUUAUUUUUU